UUUCUUAUAAGUUUUAAUUAAUUGAAUUAAGUUGUCAGUGUAUAAUAUUUAUAAAAUGAUGAAAAUUAAAACCCAAAACAAACUUACGCUGUUGGAUGCUAUAUACGCCAAAGAAAAAGUGUAUUGUUUGGUAAUUCUAAAACAACAUCAAAUGAUGAAAAAGUGGAAUCUUAGAAAAGUGUCCAUAAUAUAGCCCAUGCAUUACAACUUGCAACAUCAGAUCGUUCUUGGCAGUUCACUAGGGACAAGUUGUAUGGGCUGUGGAAAUAUCGCACUUUAGAAAAGAGGGAUAAUAAGAAGGGGAAAUUCACUGGUAAGACGGGAGGAAAAAUGCCAGUAUGAUGAUGUUGAUCUAGCCAUACUAGAUAUUUUAGAUGAAGAUUCAGCAGUAGUGCAAGGAAGUUAUCUGAGGAUGAUGUAAGUUUGAUACGAUUUUAGGUAUGGCCUAUGAUCCAAACAAAUAACUAUGUCGAAUUU
Rhopalosiphum padi (bird cherry-oat aphid) is the source of this 477-nucleotide long non-coding RNA. RefSeq lists it as uncharacterized. The transcript is spliced from 3 exons. NCBI's taxonomy places the organism in Eukaryota, Metazoa, Arthropoda, Insecta, Hemiptera, Aphididae. The record is from RefSeq and is a predicted model, not a curated record.